Brassica napus (rape) is the source of this 2227-nucleotide long non-coding RNA. RefSeq lists it as uncharacterized. The record is from RefSeq and is a predicted model, not a curated record. Lineage: Eukaryota; Viridiplantae; Streptophyta; Magnoliopsida; Brassicales; Brassicaceae. The transcript has 7 exons.
UUAGAUAACAUCUUUAUAUAUAUCUAUCCUAUACUAAAAGGGAUAUAUGAGGAGUAGGGAGGCUGUCCACGUCCUCAAUUAAAUCGACCAAUAGAAAAACAUUUUGUUGCCACGUCACAAGCGCUGAGAUAGAAUGGACAUUUUGUGUGAGCUACGUAAAAUUAUAUUCGGCCCAAAGGUGUUUAAGUUUUACAAUUCUCUUUUUCCAUUCUUCCAUUUCCUCUUCUCUGAUCCCUGAGUUCAUGCAUUACCCUUUAAACAAUCAAAGAUAAUCUUAAAAGUCUUCUUGAAUGUGUCGUUCCUCCUCCUCUUAAUCAUUCUUCUAUAUAAAUCUCCAUGUAUAUACCUAAAUCCACCCAAAAUAAAAAAUCAAAAAACCAAAAACCUCAUCUGAAGAAGCUACAUCCAUGACCAUGAAAUCCACCGGAUAAUCUCAACUCUCCACCAGAAAAUCUCCAGUCGCCGUAUAUUUCAACAACCUCUCACCAGGACUAGGAUCAAGAUGGAGGUCGCUUCAGAGGGUACCAAUCUCAUGAAGAAGGUGCAUCCUGAUGAGCACAUAGUACCUUCGUUAGGUUAGAAUCUCAAAACAGUGGGUUUCAGCAAAGUUUAGAAUUUUGCUUUAUAUUUGUAUGCAGAGAUCGAUCUCGAGUUGGAUGCUCUAAGUUUGUAAAAAAGGCUCAUUACUCUAAGGUUUUUUUUUUUUUUGUCGCUGGUGGAGAUUUGUUGCAGAACGCUGUGGCUUUUGAGUUCACAUCGGCUCCAGAUCACGUUUGUGUAAGCUGUAGUUAUCAUUCUUCGUUAAACCAAGCAUUUAGGUGAUUCGUAUUACUUUUCCCACUCUCUUUUGCAUUUAAUCGGCAUAACCAUCUUUCAGAGUAACCGAUUGAAGCUUGGAGCAUAUAUUAUUUUGUAGGCUCCGAUGAACAUCUUCCUUGCUACACAGGUAUGAAGGUGAUUAUUACAGAACUCUCUUGCAAUAGUAUCAUUAUCCUCCAAGGUAACCGCUGGAAGGUCUAAACUAUAAAUGUGUUCUUUCUCUGCGAUUAACAGCCACACUGCCAUGAAUUCUCCAUGUUCAAUCGAUUGUAUCUCUACAACUCAUUAUUCCUUUGUUAUCAUAUAGAUUUAUUGAAAAAUGCUAAUCCUUUUGUAGUUUGCUUUGUAGCUCUUUACGAGAGGAUGGAGCAGUUCUUCUGAAUGCUCUUAAGGUAUAUGCAGCACUACGAUGAUGUUAGACUGUCUAACCUUGGUAUGGAUGACACAAACGAUCCGGUUGAGACUCACCAGUAGCUAGGAAGUGUUAAGGACUGGAUCAGCUCCCGCCACCUCAAAACUCUAAAGCUCACAGAUUUCAUUCAAACUUCCUUGAUAUCUCAAUAAAAUCAUGGACCAGCUGGAGAAAAAAAUGUGUUCUUUGUAGAGCAGGGAAGGACACAUGCGUCAUAAACGGAGACACGCGAAUUAAAGUUUGUGAAAAUGGAUCUGAUGGUAAAGUACUAAAGCUGCUCCAAAAGACGGGAAAGCUAUUACUUCUCAAGACUACAUGUACAUGAAAGUGCUCUGUACCAUUAGAUGCAAUAUGUAACCACUGACCAUUACAGAGCUUCACAACAAGUUGGAUGGUGAAGCCAACCAGACUACAGCAGUUUGUAAGCUAAUCCAAGAAGGCUACAUGAAGAUUCUAGCAGCCGCUGUCUAGAGGGAAGCGUGUAAUUUUCUCAAGUCUAACCGAGUAGAAGCUGAAUGUAGUUAGAAAGUUAUUGACCCAUUAACCACAGUGGAAGCAUAUGUGAACAGUGAUGGUGUAGCCAAUGCGCUUAUCCAACACCAGUGGCGUCCAAAGUCGUUUAUUACUGCAUUGUCUGUAGUUUGCCAGAGACAUGGGAUCUUGCCGUUUCCACAUCGAAUAAUCCAUAAGCUGAUUUUGGCAUGGAACAAUCGAGUGCUUUAAUUAGUUGUGGAUGCUCUCCAAGAACUUGAAAGAGUUAUCAGUAAAGUGAUUUUACAUUUAAGGUUCUUUCGUCUCCCAUGUCCUCUUCAGUUCAUACAUAAUAUGAUGAUCUUAGGGUUAUAACUUUCUUUUUGAUCAACCAUCAGGUUUAAUAUCACUAUAUGUUUUUGAUACGUCACUUCAUAUUUUCUUUUCUUUUUCUACUGCAAAUUGAUGUCAAAAUCAAAUUAAGGAUAUAAACUAUAAUAUAGAAGAUUAUUUUGAAUUAAGAAA